Molecule: ribosomal RNA, 447 nt
Filed under: uncultured bacterium
Lineage: Bacteria
Description: bacterial SSU rRNA
Rfam family: Bacterial small subunit ribosomal RNA
Source: RNAcentral
AACGAACGCUGGCGGCAGGCCUAACACAUGCAAGUCGAACGCCGUAGCAAUACGGAGUGGCAGACGGGUGAGUAACACGUGGGAACGUACCCUUCGGUUCGGAAUAACUCAGGGAAACUUGAGCUAAUACCGGAUACGUCCGAGAGGAGAAAGAUUUAUCGCCGAGGGAUCGGCCCGCGUCUGAUUAGCUUGUUGGUGAGGUAACGGCUCACCAAGGCGACGAUCAGUAGCUGGUCUGAGAGGAUGAUCAGCCACAUUGGGACUGAGACACGGCCAAACUCCUACGGGAGGCAGCAGUGGGGAAUAUUGGACAAUGGGCGCAAGCCUGAUCCAGCCAUGCCGCGUGAGUGAUGAAGGCCCUAGGGUUGUAAAGCUCUUUUACCGGAAGAUAAUGACUGUACCGGGAGAAUAAGCCCCGGCUAACUUCGUGCCAGCCGCCGCCGUAAC